This 497-nucleotide ribosomal RNA is filed under the name uncultured bacterium. RNAcentral describes it as "partial 16S ribosomal RNA". It matches the Rfam family "Bacterial small subunit ribosomal RNA", at positions 28 to 507 of the family's 1533-position model. The record is from RNAcentral.
GAUGAACGCUGGCGGCGUGCCUAAUACAUGCAAGUCGAGCGAACAGACGAGGAGCUUGCUUCUCUGACGUUAGCGGCGGAUGGGUGAGUAACACGUGGAUAACCUACCUAUAAGACUGGGAUAACUUCGGGAAACCGGAGCUAAUACCGGAUAAUAUAUUGAACCGCAUGGUUCAAUAGUGAAAGACGGUUUUGCUGUCACUUAUAGAUGGAUCCGCGCCGCAUUAGCUAGUUGGUAAGGUAACGGCUUACCAAGGCAACGAUGCGUAGCCGACCUGAGAGGGUGAUCGGCCACACUGGAACUGAGACACGGUCCAGACUCCUACGGGAGGCAGCAGUAGGGAAUCUUCCGCAAUGGGCGAAAGCCUGACGGAGCAACGCCGCGUGAGUGAUGAAGGUCUUCGGAUCGUAAAACUCUGUUAUUAGGGAAGAACAAAUGUGUAAGUAACUAUGCACGUCUUGACGGUACCUAAUCAGAAAGCCACGGCUAACUACGUG